RNAcentral lists this ribosomal RNA (253 nucleotides) under uncultured bacterium. RNAcentral describes it as "partial 16S ribosomal RNA". It matches the Rfam family "Bacterial small subunit ribosomal RNA", at positions 524 to 776 of the family's 1533-position model. The record is from RNAcentral.
UACAGAGGGGGCGAGCGUUGUUCGGAAUUACUGGGCGUAAAGGGCGCGUAGGCGGCCGUCUAAGUCGGACGUGAAAUCCCCAGGCUCAACCUGGGAACUGCGUCCGAUACUGAAUGGCUUGAGUCCGGGAGAGGGAAGUGGAAUUCCAGGUGUAGCGGUGAAAUGCGUAGAUAUCUGGAGGAACACCGGUGGCGAAGGCGGCUUCCUGGACCGGAACUGACGCUGAGGCGCGAAAGCCAGGGGAGCAAACGGG